This is a non-coding RNA of Pteropus alecto (black flying fox), 548 nucleotides long. Lineage: Eukaryota; Metazoa; Chordata; Mammalia; Chiroptera; Pteropodidae. The record is from the annotation of a RefSeq genome assembly.
AUGGUGUCAGGGGGACUCAAGACUGAGGUCGGCAGCUCCCACAGUGGAGAUCAGACCUUUGACCUCCUGUCCCUCCCUCACCCCGCAGGUCAGCCCAAGUCUGCGCCCGCGGUCACUCUGUUCCCGCCCUCCUCUGAGGAGCUCAGCGCCAAAAAGGCCACAUUGGUGUGUCUCAUCAAUGACUUCUACCCCGGCGCCGUGACGGUGGCCUGGAAGGCAGAUGGCAUCACCGUCACCCAGGGCGUGGAGACCACCAAGCCCUCGAAACAGAGCAACAACAAGUACGCGGCCAGCAGCUACCUGAGCCUGACGCCUGAGAGCUGGAAAUCUAGGAGCAGCUACAGCUGCCAGGUCACGCACGAGGGGAGCACCGUGGAGAAGACUCUGACCCCCUCACAGUGUUCUUAGGACCCUCAGACCCCUCCAGCUCUUGGAGUUCGGGGGCGGCUACUGCUUAAAGACUCCCAGACUAUCUCUUCUCCCAACUCCCAGUUGGCCUCUCCCUUUAUCCAAAUAACUCUCAAUAAAAUGUGCUAUUGUCAAUCAGA